GAUUAUGCUGAUGCUUAUUGCACCACAUGUGUUUUUCUUUGAAACAAACUUGCUUUGGCGGUGGGCCCAGCCUGCCGCCAGAGGUCUAAACUUGCAACCAAUUUUUUAUCAACUUGUCACACCAGAUUAUUACUAAUAGUCAAAACUUUCAACAACGGAUCUCUUGGUUCUCGCAUCGAUGAAGAACGCAGCGAAAUGCGAUACGUAAUAUGAAUUGCAGAUAUUCGUGAAUCAUCGAAUUUUUGAACGCACAUUGCGCCCUCUGGUAUUCCGGAGGGCAUGCCUGUUUGAGCGUCGUUUCUCCCUCAAACCGCUGGGUUUGGUGUUGAGCAAUACGACUUGGGUUUGCUUGAAAGACGGUAGUGGUAAGGCGGGAUCGCUUUGACAAUGGCUUAGGUCUAACCAAAAACAUUGCUUGCGGCGGUAACGUCUACCACGUAUAUCUUCAAACUUUGACCUCAAAUCAGGUAGGACUACCCGCUGAACUUAAGCAUAUCAAAAAGCGGA
This 507-nucleotide ribosomal RNA is filed under the name Candida albicans. RNAcentral describes it as "eukaryotic LSU rRNA". The stretch from base 144 to 297 matches the Rfam family "5.8S ribosomal RNA". The record is from RNAcentral. Lineage: Eukaryota; Fungi; Ascomycota; Pichiomycetes; Serinales; Debaryomycetaceae.